GAUUAAGUAAACUUAACUCAUUUAAUUAAGUUUGUUAACCUUACUUAGUUUAACUAAGUAAUCCCAACUUUUUUCUAUGCAAACUCAAGUCAACUUGAUUAAACUUAACAGAUUAAUUUAGCUCAACUUAAAAUUUCAAGUAUUUUCAAAAAGGAUGACUGCACAGUAGGUGGCAGUAAUGAUCCCAAGGAGUAAGUGGUGGCUUAACUGAGUGGUUAACUGAAGAAGACGACAACAGCACAUGGUCGGAUAAGAGCAUGAGGAGCAGGAGCUUGUUUCUUUGAAGAGAGCGCAUACCCUUCAUGGAAAGUCAGUAACGUUACUGUGGAGUACAACCAAGUCGCAAGCAAAAGCCUCAAGCAAGAAUUGUUCUCAUCCCUUGCUAAACAUUGUUUUUGAAGAUUUUGAAUGAAAGAAAAGUUUAAAAGCUCUCUUGAGUAUCUAAUAAACAUCACUGAUGACAGUGCUCGGUGGACGGUAGUUCUCUGUGGUCUUGCUAUCCUUCUUGCAGAAGACACUACAGACUUCCUGAAAACAAACAUGGACUGUGAUGGUGACCCACCUCCACUAUCAAUAGGAAUUUUCAGUCUGGUGCCGGAGGACAGACACAUUUCUCCACAUGGUUUACAGCAAUUAUUUGGUAGGGUGUCACAGUCAUGAAUGGACUUGAGAAAGUAUCACAUGCCAUGUGUUUAGUUUUUGGACUGAUCGUUGUUUUAAAUAUGGAGUACCUCUUCACGGUUUAUUUUGAGUUGAUUCACAGGGUUUUUCUUUCCCUGGGGCACAAAUCACUACAGUAAAGUCAAAACUGCCAUCACUACAAAACAUACUAAUGUGAAGUAGUGUGUUUUGUGUGAAACAAGUCUGUGUUACUGUAGAUCUGUUGCAUUUUGGGGUUUUUAUUUUUCGUCAACCUGGAUACAAGUUCCAGAAAAACUCAACUUUAAUUGCUGCAAAACUUUGAUGUUUUAGUUAAGCUGUAUUUUGCGUGUUUCUGAUGGCAGAAACAAGAUUGUUACUGUAGGUCUGUUGAUGCAAUUUGUGAUUUUUUAUCAGUCACAUGACAACCUGGAUACAAAACCAAAACUGCAGUCACUAAAAAAAACUAGUUUUGAAUUUGUUUGUCAAGGUGUGUUCAUUGUGUUUGUAAUAACAGAAACAAGACUUAGGUCUAUUGUUGCAUUUUGGGUAUCCAGAUUGAUGGGUGACUGAACACAAACCCCUUUCUUGUGUGUGUGUGUGCGCGUGCGUGUGACAAAAAUGUUUUACUUUGUACACUGUUAACAUGUUUAAAAUAAACGUUUUAACCUCAUUUUGUUGCUUUUUGGCUUUACUCAUUUUUGUUAGUUCAGCUUACUUACAAAUAUAAGGCAAUCAGUUUCCUUAUAUUUACAAGUAAAGUGAACAAUAAAAAGAAGUUAUCUCAACUAAUGAUUUUAAGUAAAGAGUACUUAACUUUACUUGAUUAAUAAGUUUAGUCUACUUGUACUGUUAAGUUUUGACAACUUAAAAUCAAUACUCUACCUUACUUGAUG
Non-coding RNA from Misgurnus anguillicaudatus (oriental weatherfish), 1535 nucleotides. NCBI's taxonomy places the organism in Eukaryota, Metazoa, Chordata, Actinopteri, Cypriniformes, Cobitidae. The record is from RefSeq and is a predicted model, not a curated record.